UAAUACGUAGGUGGCAAGCGUUGUCCGGAAUUAUUGGGCGUAAAGCGCGCGCAGGCGGUUUCUUAAGUCUGAUGUGAAAUCUUGCGGCUCAACCGCAAGCGGCCAUUGGAAACUGGGAGACUUGAGUGCAGAAGAGGAGAGUGGAAUUCCACGUGUAGCGGUGAAAUGCGUAGAGAUGUGGAGGAACACCAGUGGCGAAGGCGACUCUCUGGUCUGUAACUGACGCUGAGGCGCGAAAGCGUGGGGAGCGAACAGGAUUAGAUACCCUGGUAGUCCACGCCGUAAACGAUGAGUGCUAAGUGUUAGAGGGUUUCCGCCCUUUAGUGCUGCAGCUAACGCAUUAAGCACUCCGCCUGGGGAGUACGGCCGCAAGGCUG
This 377-nucleotide ribosomal RNA is filed under the name uncultured bacterium. Its description in RNAcentral is "bacterial SSU rRNA". It matches the Rfam family "Bacterial small subunit ribosomal RNA", at positions 521 to 896 of the family's 1533-position model. The record is from RNAcentral.